GGUAUGUAAGGCUCUAUCAGCAGGGAAGAUNAUGACGGUACCUGACUAAGAAGCACCGGCUAAAUACGUGCCAGCAGCCGCGGUAAUACGUAUGGUGCAAGCGUUAUCCGGAUUUACUGGGUGUAAAGGGAGCGCAGGCGGUGCGGCAAGUCUGAUGUGAAAGCCCGGGGCUCAACCCCGGUACUGCAUUGGAAACUGUCGUACUAGAGUGUCGGAGGGGUAAGCGGAAUUCCUAGUGUAGCGGUGAAAUGCGUAGAUAUUAGGAGGAACACCAGUGGCGAAGGCGGCUUACUGGACGAUAACUGACGCUGAGGCUCGAAAGCGUGGGGAGCAAACAGGAUUAGAUACCCUGGUAGUCCACGCCGUAAA
RNAcentral lists this ribosomal RNA (369 nucleotides) under uncultured bacterium. RNAcentral's name for it is "bacterial SSU rRNA". It matches the Rfam family "Bacterial small subunit ribosomal RNA", at positions 420 to 806 of the family's 1533-position model. The record is from RNAcentral.